This 483-nucleotide ribosomal RNA is filed under the name uncultured bacterium. Its description in RNAcentral is "partial 16S ribosomal RNA". It matches the Rfam family "Bacterial small subunit ribosomal RNA", at positions 30 to 507 of the family's 1533-position model. The record is from RNAcentral.
AUUGAACGCUGGCGGCAUGCCUUACACAUGCAAGUCGAACGGCAGCGCGGACUUCGGUCUGGCGGCGAGUGGCGAACGGGUGAGUAAUACAUCGGAACGUACCCUGUUGUGGGGGAUAACUAGUCGAAGAUUAGCUAAUACCGCAUACGACCUGAGGGUGAAAGUGGGGGACCGCAAGGCCUCACGCAGCAGGACCGGCCGAUGUCUGAUUAGCUAGUUGGUGGGGUAAAGGCCCACCAAGGCGACGAUCAGUAGCUAGUCUGAGAGGACGAUCAGCCACACUGGGACUGAGACACGGCCCAGACUCCUACGGGAGGCAGCAGUGGGGAAUUUUGGACAAUGGGGGCAACCCUGAUCCAGCAAUGCCGCGUGUGUGAAGAAGGCCUUCGGGUUGUAAAGCACUUUUGUCCGGAAAGAAAUCGCGCUGGUUAAUACCUGGCGUGGAUGACGGUACCGGAAGAAUAAGCACCGGCUAACUACGUG